AAUCAUGGCUCAGGACGAACGCUGGCGGCGUGCCUAAUACAUGCAAGUAGAACGCUGAAGGAGGAGCUUGCUUCUCCGGAUGAGUUGCGAACGGGUGAGUAACGCGUAGGUAACCUGCCUGGUAGCGGGGGAUAACUAUUGGAAACGAUAGCUAAUACCGCAUAAGAGUAGAUGUUGCAUGACAUUUGCUUAAAAGGUGCAAUUGCAUCACUACCAGAUGGACCUGCGUUG
RNAcentral lists this ribosomal RNA (231 nucleotides) under uncultured bacterium. RNAcentral's name for it is "partial 16S ribosomal RNA". It matches the Rfam family "Bacterial small subunit ribosomal RNA", at positions 15 to 238 of the family's 1533-position model. The record is from RNAcentral.